CUGGGUGACGAGCGGCGGACGGGUGAGUAAUGUCUGGGAAACUGCCUGAUGGAGGGGGAUAACUACUGGAAACGGUAGCUAAUACCGCAUAACGUCUUCGGACCAAAGAGGGGGACCUUCGGGCCUCUUGCCAUCAGAUGUGCCCAGAUGGGAUUAGCUAGUAGGUGAGGUAAUGGCUCACCUAGGCGACGAUCCCUAGCUGGUCUGAGAGGAUGACCAGCCACACUGGAACUGAGACACGGUCCAGACUCCUACGGGAGGCAGCAGUGGGGAAUAUUGCACAAUGGGCGCAAGCCUGAUGCAGCCAUGCCGCGUGUAUGAAGAAGGCCUUCGGGUUGUAAAGUACUUUCAGCGAGGAGGAAGGCAUUGUGGUUAAUAACCGCAGUGAUUGACGUUACUCGCAGAAGAAGCACCGGCUAACUCCGUGCCAGCAGCCGCGGUAAUACGGAGGGUGCAAGCGUUAAUCGGAAUUACUGGGCGUAAAGCGCACGCAGGCGGUCUGUCAAGUCGGAUGUGAAAUCCCCGGGCUCAACCUGGGAACUGCAUUCGAAACUGGCAGGCUAGAGUCUUGUAGAGGGGGGUAGAAUUCCAGGUGUAGCGGUGAAAUGCGUAGAGAUCUGGAGGAAUACCGGUGGCGAAGGCGGCCCCCUGGACAAAGACUACG
This 664-nucleotide ribosomal RNA is filed under the name Buttiauxella sp. 110518_136_C_D7. RNAcentral's name for it is "bacterial SSU rRNA". It matches the Rfam family "Bacterial small subunit ribosomal RNA", at positions 84 to 745 of the family's 1533-position model. Lineage: Bacteria; Pseudomonadati; Pseudomonadota; Gammaproteobacteria; Enterobacterales; Enterobacteriaceae. The record is from RNAcentral.